Molecule: microRNA, 23 nt
Filed under: Spodoptera frugiperda (fall armyworm)
Lineage: Eukaryota; Metazoa; Arthropoda; Insecta; Lepidoptera; Noctuidae
Also listed under: 1 other name
Description: sfr-miR-13a-3p
Gene: sfr-miR-13a-3p
Source: miRBase by way of RNAcentral
UAUCACAGCCACUUUGAUGUGGU